This is a non-coding RNA of Salvia hispanica, 1448 nucleotides long. The record is from RefSeq and is a predicted model, not a curated record. NCBI's taxonomy places the organism in Eukaryota, Viridiplantae, Streptophyta, Magnoliopsida, Lamiales, Lamiaceae.
GAACUCGCUGUAAUGUCUCCGGAUGUCUCGGAAGAUUGCAUCGCGCGCUUUAUCUACUUCGUCCACCGCCAUCGAAAUACAGUAUAGGUGUAGAAUACGUCACGCCAACACCACACCUCUCGACGCGAUGCCUUCUUUUCCUCAGCCAGGCACGGUCACCAUUUGCGAAAUCAACAGGGAACUAGUUACGGCAGACCACCUGGGGGAGGAUCAAGCGAAUGAUACCUACUCUAAACUACUCGUACUCCAUUCUAAUCGUUCUUUGCUUAAUUUUUUUGUUGUAUACUAGUGGCUGUGAUAAUUAGUUGCUAAAUAAUUCGAUGUAUCCUUGACUUAUAUGAAUCCAACAUUCUGCAUAAUCCUUGACUUAGUUUACAUAUUUAGCUUCAGCUUCAUAUGAGAGUUCAUCGUUCACCAUUUGGGAUGUUUCACUAGGUUUGGCCACUCCUCUUCGAAGAGGCCUAGGAGGCAUAUCAUUGUUAAAGUGGUCUCCAUCAGGAGAUUAUUUCUUUUCUGCAUAAUUUGAUGGAACAUUUCAUCUCUGGGAGACAAACACAUGGACAUCGGAACCAUGGUCCUCAAAGAAUGGGUUUUUCACGGUGACUGACGUUCAAAGUCUCGUAAUGCAAAAAGUUAUUUACAUGCUCUGGAUUUAUAUAGGUGCUCAUAUUCUUAUUGGUGGGCGAAUUAAGCAAGUAAAUUCUUGUUUUGUUUCAUCUAAUUGUUGGUGAUAUGGAGCAACAUGGGAUCCAGAUUGGCUGUAUGGCACUUCUUUCUUUUUCAGGAUCCGCAUCAUUAGGUUCCAUUCACUUUACAUCGAAACCUCCGACACUAGAUGCACUUCUUAUACCAGUUGAAUAGCCAGAGAUAAAAUUGUUGACCGACAGGUACAACAACUUGGCUGUAUAUACUUGCCAUGUUCUCUGGUUAUCAGCCAGGUCAUUGAGAAGAUAGCAUGGGAUGCUUCAGGAGAGAGAUUGGCGGUGUCACAUAAAGAUGGUGAUGAGCAAUACAAGGGGCUUGUUGCAGUAUUUGAUGUUAAAAGAACUCCCUUAAUUUCAACAUCGUUGGUUGAGGUCCUGGGGACAAUCCAAAGCCAGUGGCAUUUUCAUUCUACGACAAAUUAAAACAAGGGCCAUUGCUUUCUGUGUGCUGGAGCAGUGGAUUUUGCUGCACCUACCCUCUUAUAUUCCGUUCAAAUAAUCUACCAUAGUUGAGGUUAUGCAGAGAUUGCAUGCAUCGGUCUUGCAGUUCAUCACCAAGGAACUGAAAUGAACAAUCUAUGAACUUGAUGGGGCAUAUUCAGAGAGGCUAUAUUUUCUGAGACACUGUUAAUUAAAAAAACACCCAUUUAAGGGUACUAAGUUUUGUUGUAAACUGAUGUGAUCAACUACACUCUGAAUUUUUGUGUAAAACUUAGUAAUUUCUUAUUGUAAGUCCCCUUUCAU